AAGCCAUGCAUGUCUAAGUAUAAGCAAUUUAUACAGCGAAACUGCGAAUGGCUCAUUAAAUCAGUUAUCGUUUAUUUGAUAGUUCCUUUACUACAUGGUAUAACUGUGGUAAUUCUAGAGCUAAUACAUGCUUAAAAUCUCGACCCUUUGGAAGAGAUGUAUUUAUUAGAUAAAAAAUCAAUGUCUUCGGACUCUUUGAUGAUUCAUAAUAACUUUUCGAAUCGCAUGGCCUUGUGCUGGCGAUGGUUCAUUCAAAUUUCUGCCCUAUCAACUUUCGAUGGUAGGAUAGUGGCCUACCAUGGUUUCAACGGGUAACGGGGAAUAAGGGUUCGAUUCCGGAGAGGGAGCCUGAGAAACGGCUACCACAUCCAAGGAAGGCAGCAGGCGCGCAAAUUACCCAAUCCUAAUUCAGGGAGGUAGUGACAAUAAAUAACGAUACAGGGCCCAUUCGGGUCUUGUAAUUGGAAUGAGUACAAUGUAAAUACCUUAACGAGGAACAAUUGGAGGGCAAGUCUGGUGCCAGCAGCCGCGGUAAUUCCAGCUCCAAUAGCGUAUAUUAAAGUUGUUGCAGUUAAAAAGCUCGUAGUUGAACUUUGGGCCCGGUUGGCCGGUCCGAUUUUUUCGUGUACUGGAUUUCCAACGGGGCCUUUCCUUCUGGCUAACCUUGAGUCCUUGUGGCUCUUGGCGAACCGGGACUUUUACUUUGAAAAAAUUAGAGUGUUCAAAGCAGGCGUAUUGCUCGAAUAUAUUAGCAUGGAAUAAUAGAAUAGGACGUUUGGUUCUAUUUUGUUGGUUUCUAGGACCAUCGUAAUGAUUAAUAGGGACGGUCGGGGGCAUCAGUAUUCAAUUGUCAGAGGUGAAAUUCUUGGAUUUAUUGAAGACUAACUACUGCGAAAGCAUUUGCCAAGGACGUUUUCAUUAAUCAAGAACGAAAGUUAGGGGAUCGAAGAUGAUCAGAUACCGUCGUAGUCUUAACCAUAAACUAUGCCGACUAGGGAUCGGGUGGUGUUUUUUUUAAUGACCCCACUCGGCACCUUACGAGAAAAUCAAAGUCUUUGGGUUCUGGGGGGAGUAUGGUCGCAAGGCUGAAACUUAAAGGAAUUGACGGAAGGGCACCACCAGGAGUGGAGCCUGCGGCUUAAUUUGACUCAACACGGGGAAACUCACCAGGUCCAGACACAAUAAGGAUUGACAGAUUGAGAGCUCUUUCUUGAUUUUGUGGGUGGUGGUGCAUGGCCGUUCUUAGUUGGUGGAGUGAUUUGUCUGCUUAAUUGCGAUAACGAACGAGACCUUAACCUACUAAAUAGUGGUGCUAGCAUUUGCUGGUUAUCCACUUCUUAGAGGGACUAUCGGUUUCAAGCCGAUGGAAGUUUGAGGCAAUAACAGGUCUGUGAUGCCCUUAGACGUUCUGGGCCGCACGCGCGCUACACUGACGGAGCCAGCGAGUCUAACCUUGGCCGAGAGGUCUUGGUAAUCUUGUGAAACUCCGUCGUGCUGGGGAUAGAGCAUUGUAAUUAUUGCUCUUCAACGAGGAAUUCCUAGUAAGCGCAAGUCAUCAGCUUGCGUUGAUUACGUCCCUGCCCUUUGUACACACCGCCCGUCGCUAGUACCGAUUGAAUGGCUUAGUGAGGCCUCAGGAUCUGCUUAGAGAAGGGGGCAACUCCAUCUCAGAGCGGAGAAUUUGACAAACUUGGUCAUUUAGAGGAACUAAAAGUCGUA
Molecule: ribosomal RNA, 1719 nt
Filed under: Saccharomyces cerevisiae (brewer's yeast)
Lineage: Eukaryota; Fungi; Ascomycota; Saccharomycetes; Saccharomycetales; Saccharomycetaceae
Description: partial 18S ribosomal RNA
Rfam family: Eukaryotic small subunit ribosomal RNA
Source: RNAcentral